This is a long non-coding RNA of Marmota flaviventris (yellow-bellied marmot), 457 nucleotides long. RefSeq lists it as uncharacterized. The record is from RefSeq and is a predicted model, not a curated record. NCBI's taxonomy places the organism in Eukaryota, Metazoa, Chordata, Mammalia, Rodentia, Sciuridae.
CACAGCCCCCAAACCCCUUGUGCUGGGCAGAGAAUCAGGAAGGAAGUUUGGGGGUAAGAGGACGGAAACUGCCAACCAACGUGACAAAGAUCUGCACCCCUGCACCGUGGUCUGUGAUCUCUCCUGCCUGCACUCCCCCCCCACCGGCGGCCUCUGCCUGGAGCUGACAGUGCCUCCUUGGAGGUGAGAGUUGCCUGGCCUCCCUGCAGGCUGUGAAAAUUAAAUGAGCUUUGGAGCCCCCUGAAGCACCCAGGCUUGCACUUGGCAAUGUCUUCCUGGCUCUCCUCCACUCAGGCCAACGCUUCCUUGACCAGCAAAGCCAAGGCUGCCAUCACGGAGGGGGAGAAGGACCGUCCCUUUCCUGGCCCUUUGCCGGCUCUCCCCAGCCCUCCCCACCCCCAGCACAGGCAGGACGUCUGUCUCUCUGCUGAUUAUGAGAUAGCUCAUGGCUGUCAGG